CGUCUCGUCUCGUCUCGUCACGUCACGUCUCGUCUCGUCACAUCACAUCACAUCAAAUCAUAUAUGGAUGUAUUAAGUGAGUGUGUCUCUGAGAGCAUGAGCUCAUCCUGCAUUAGCAGCCGCCGGAGGGAAGGAUUGAGUUUGUGGGCAGCCGGUCUCGGUGCCGGUUUGGCUCGUGUUUACCAGCAGACAGCUGGUCUGUAGAGAUGAUUCACAGAUCUGUGUCUGGAGAAAGCUGAUCCGCUGCUGACGGUGCAGGAAAGCCUGAUGUGAGCGGAUGAUGCUGUCAGACUCAGCUGCUGCACUCCAGGAAUUGAAUCAGCAUGCUUUUGCCAAGGGCCAAAAUUCAAAUGCAAUACAACUGUGCAAAAUUAAUGCAGUUUCCAGUGAAAAUCAGCGGAAGGAAACCGGAUCAGAUCCACUUCAGUGACGGAAAUGAGCGAUGAAUGACUUCCAUGAACCUGGACGGAUCGCGAACUCCCAGCAGAGUUUGUCUGUGUGAACGUCUGCUGCAAUCGACCCGUAAAAACAACCUGGACUCAACCAUUUAGAAUAAAUCUGAGCAUCGCAGGCAGACGCUCCUGAUGAACGGACAAUAACCCUGAUGCAUCGUUUCCAGGAAAGUCCUCCGUUAUAUCGACCCCUCCUUUGCACUUAUUAAAGACACAGCGAGGUGCAAUCAGAAUACA
Cyprinus carpio (common carp) is the source of this 689-nucleotide long non-coding RNA. RefSeq lists it as uncharacterized. Lineage: Eukaryota; Metazoa; Chordata; Actinopteri; Cypriniformes; Cyprinidae. The record is from RefSeq and is a predicted model, not a curated record. The transcript has 3 exons.